GGAAAAUAAACCUGCUGACAUAAUUUGCUGACGAUUCAGAAUUGGCUAUCAAUAGAAUUACAAUCUUGGUGAAAUUGGAGGGAAAAAUAUAGGGAGCUCUCCUGUGAGAAAAAAUAUAAAUGGAAAAUUGUCACCAAAUCACUAUUGGUGGUGGGGAGUUAGGGGAUUGCCCCUGGGGAAAAAUAAGUCAUUGGAUGAUGCGGGCUGAGAGAGACGGACUGAAGAGCGCCGGAGUGCUCCUGACUGACCUACCCAGCCCCAAAUCCUCACUCAGCACCAGGAAAUGGGAACUGUUAUCUCCUUGCCAAGAUGGGGAGACUGAGGCCCAGGUGGACUGAUAAACUUGGCAAGCUCUACAAGCAAAAUAAUAGAGGAUGUGGGAAUUAAAACUCAUGGCUACGAGGCACCAAAAUCCUCACUGAAAAAAACAGAGUGAGCAUAAAGAAAUGGUACUCUGAGAGAGAGAGAUAGAGAGAGAGAGAGAGAGAGAGAGAGAGAGAGAGAGAGAGAGAGAGAGAGAGAGAUUGAAAGGAAGCGGAUGGGGAGCCUGGGUUUUAAAUGUGAUUCAUUGACUAGCUGAUUGAGAGGAAGUUUCUAAAGGUCCAUAGCACAGUGGGCUGAGGGGCACUGCAAUUCUUCUCCCUCCAACUCCCAGAGACUAAGUCCAGCAGCGUGGGCUUCAAUGAGGGGCACUUUGGUACCAGAAGGAUACAGGCUGGACAGAUUCCAAUAGAGCAAUAAAGGGAGCAAUGAACGGUAAAGGAAACAGAGAUUUAUCUGUCAAAGGAUGCAUGAAUCCAAACACUUUCAGCUUGCUUUAAUGGGGAGGAGAGGACACAGGAUGACAACUCUUUGAAGUGUGUGUUUGCUCUUAAGGAGUGAUUAGCUUGUAGCAGGAGUACAUCCAGGAAUAAAAAGUGAUGAAAUGUGGACAAGAAACCUCUCAACUGAUGGUAGAAAAUGGUUUUUGGAAAAAUUACAGGGCAACUCCUUGAGGCUCCGAUGUUUCUCACUUUCCCUGACUCACUUGUUUUCUGGGAGUCCCAGCGUCUCCUGAAGAAACCCCUUUUCCAUUCAGCCGGCAGCUGCAGCAGGUGGCAUGGGCCAGGCCAGCCCUCUGGGGAUGCUGAUCCCAGGGAGCAUCCAGGCCGGAAGGUCCAAAUAGGGACAUGGAUGAACCUGGAAACCCUCAUUCUCAACAAAUUGACACAAGAACAGAAAAUCAAACACUGCGUGUUCUCACUCAUAGGUGGGUGUUGAACAAUGAGAACACAUGGACCCAGGGAGGGGAGC
This 1293-nucleotide long non-coding RNA is filed under the name Callithrix jacchus (white-tufted-ear marmoset). RNAcentral describes it as "lncRNA (ENSCJAG00000075113.1)". Lineage: Eukaryota; Metazoa; Chordata; Mammalia; Primates; Cebidae. The record is from RNAcentral.